Molecule: long non-coding RNA, 7087 nt
Filed under: Musa acuminata (dwarf banana)
Lineage: Eukaryota; Viridiplantae; Streptophyta; Magnoliopsida; Zingiberales; Musaceae
Description: long non-coding RNA (MACU_LNC002180)
Source: RNAcentral
UGAGAGUUCAUCUCGUUAAUAUCAUAUCAUCAGCUUGAAUAAAAUUUAAUACUUCUGGACUUGUAUACAAGUAAGUCAUGCACUCUCAAUUUUGAUCAUUUCUGUCAAGUUCGCAGUACCAUAUGAAGUGUUCUAAUUCUGGGGACUGCCAAAAAGCUUGCACCUUUUAAUUAGUUUUUCCAAAAUAGACACCCCUUUUUUAGUUGUUCAGUUUGGCAGAAAUGAAAGGAGGUUAAAACUUUUACGAAGAUAUAGAUAGAAUUUCUGCAGCUGCGACAGAUGGAGCUGUUUAAUAUGAUCUACUCAUGUAAUGAUCCUCUUGUGUUUGAGAUGCUUGUCUUCAUCAAUCAAAUACAUAUUGGAUGCAUCAUAAGCUCAAGUCCACCAAAUGUGCAGCUGCUUGAUCAUCUUGGAUCUCAUGCUCAGAUCUUUUCACUUGAUGAGUCUCCCAUUAAUGGGGGACAUGCUGCUGCAGAUGAUGGAAUUGGGCCGAAGAGGCUUUCACACGCAUGUCAAUGUGACAAGGAUGAUCUGUGCAUGCAGGAAUAAUCCAUUUAUGAUAUACAGAGUGUGGCCCCUCUCUGAGCCGCUCACAUUGAAUUUUGCCAUGGAUUCUGUGUUAUGACUCGGGAUGUAGACGAGCUUCAUUUGAUUACCUGUUGCCAUUAGCACUCAAACGUAAGCAAAGUUCAUAGGAAUGUAAUUCUUGGUUCAAACUGUUUUGUAGACGCAAAACAAAGAAGAGGUGUUACAUCAACAUUUUCUUAUGGAUCUAAUUAUCACCCUCCAUAAAUAAGAGUGAUUAAGAUCAGGAGUGAAUCGAGAUUAAUAAUUUUUCUAGUAUCCAAUAAAUAAAAAAUUAUGUAUUUUUAUUUAAUUAUAGACAUUAUCUUGUACAAAACUCGAGAAUUGAUUUUAAAUAAUUGUUAUUAUUUUUGUAAAUAAAAAGAUCUAUUGCUCAAAAGAUAAUGUGUUAUUUAUAGAAAUGUAAGUUUGACUAGAAAUCCCACCACGAGAGAUUUCUUGAAAUAUAUUAAAAAUUAAUUAUUUUGAUCAUCUUGGCUAAACAAAAAAAUGUUGGUAAAAGGAAAACUUAGGUACUAAGAUAUCAAGUUGGUAUCAUCAGCAAGAAUUGUAUAAAUUAGAGAGUCCAAUUGAUAUAGAUGAGAAGGUAUGACAUGAGAAGAUUAUUAAUAUGGUUUAAUUGUUAAUAAUUCAUAAAUACUAGGUCGUAUUUAAUAUUAUUUCUUAAUUUAUAAAUGUCAUCGGCUCAUGUUAAUCUUUUCUGUAUCGUUCUAAUUUUAUUGGAUGUUUCUAGGUUAUGCUGGGCUUUGACGAAGAUAUCAAGUGAAAAAGUUUAUAAUAUCUUGAUUUAUAGAGUAGACAUAAUUAAGAUUGAUUUAUAAAGAUAUGAUGGACUUACUAUUAUUAAUUUUAACUUAAACACUUUAAUCAAUGGUUUAAGUUUUAAUAGCUCAUUAGUUUGUUAAGAGUAUCGACACAAUGACAGGGAGAUACAUGAUUAAGCUAGUCUCACACAAUGAUAGAGUGAUGCAUGGUUAAUCCCUUUAUGCAAGAUUUACUUUUUUAACAUGAGAUGAUCAUUGUUUUCUUUGUUUUUCAUGAGUAAAGUUAGCAUGUUCUCGAAGAUAAAAGAAAAAAAAAUUGACACGACAAGAGAGGAAUGGUAGCAACAGAUUCUGAACACAAACUAAGAUUCAAAGAUGAUGCAACCUUGCUGUUGCAAAAGUAGAUGAGUAACUUGGCUCUGAUAGCUGGAAUUGAAGGUCUUCCUUCCUCUUGUUCUGCUCAGUUGCAUUAUCAUGUCAAUUUCCAGGAGAGUUUCCCAGCGACUGCUGAUCGCUGUCUUCUUGGUGACCACAAAUCUUGUCUUUCUUUUAUUCGUGUUAAUAAUGGUUGUCUGAUAGCUACAAAUUUCUCCUAUUUAGCAGUUCUUAGGAAAUUCUCAAAACCUUCACAUUCAAGAAGAUGCUGGAGUCUUUAGAUGAAAGCUAUUCCAACUUUGGGACUCGUCAAAAUCAGAAGUCAUAGUUGACUGACUUGAGGAUAGACAACAAUAUGAAAUGAAGAACAAGUGCAUGAUAUUGGCAGACAGCCUAAUUGUUGAAGGUUUCUUGGUCUACUCUUUGAAUCCGUCAGUUGAGUAGUUUCAGACUAACGGAGGAUGAUCCAAACAGGGCAUGAUAAUAAUAUUUUGUGUAUUGCAAGCUGUCCACCGCAGAUUUCUCAUGAUUAAUCUUAAGAUAAGCUGCGUAUUUUUAUUAUCUGUAAUCUAAGAUAAUUGUGUUGGUGUGAGAUGAUCCACUUUGAUCAAGUACACAAUUUCCCUCCCAAUCGAUGGAAUCAUGGUUGUGGUAAUAAUUGUUUUCAGGUGUAUGCAAAAAGGCAAAUCUACCUGUUCUGUGAAAUUUCUUGCCAGUUUCUAUGCACUACCGGUGCCAGAAAUAUGAAAAUCUAAUUAAAUACCUUGACGAAUUAAGCUGCCAUUAUGGUUGUUUUUCUAGUUUCUUGGACUCGUUUUAGACAUUACAAGUGUAUGACACUGGAUUUGCUCAGUAGAACAUCAUGGACGACCUUCUAUCAUUGUCAACCUAGAACAUCGNNNNNNNNNNNNNNNNNNNNNNNNNNNNNNNNNNNNNNNNNNNNNNNNNNNNNNNNNNNNNNNNNNNNNNNNNNNNNNNNNNNNNNNNNNNNNNNNNNNNNNNNNNNNNNNNNNNNNNNNNNNNNNNNNNNNNNNNNNNNNNNNNNNNNNNNNNNNNNNNNNNNNNNNNNNNNNNNNNNNNNNGUGCAGCAAUCAUACUGGGCAUGUCGUCAAGCUGGACCUCCAGAAUCCGCAUCCUUUCUCGGAUUUUGGUGACGAGCCAUACAACAACUGGACCUUAGGAGGUGAGUUGAGGCCUUCUUUACUUGGUCUGAAACACCUGAAGUACCUGGACCUAAGCAUGAACGAUUUUGGAGGCAUUAAUAUUCCAGAAUUCAUGGGGUCAUUCCAUCAACUCCAAUAUCUUAACCUCUCCAGAGCUGGAUUGGGUGGACUCCUGCCUCACCAGCUGGGAAAUCUCUCCAAUCUGCAGUAUCUAGACUUAUCCAAUGACUUGGAUCCCAAUUUUGUGGUUCCGGUCCGUGAAUUUAGCAUUGGUGAUGCACUCUGGAUUUCUCACCUUUCUUCUCUAAAGCAUCUCAACCUGAAGAGUGUUAACUUUCAAAAUGGUACGCACUGGCUGGAAGCUCUGAACAUGCUUCCUUCUAUUCUGGAGAUAUACUUAUCUCUCUGCGAAAUUGGAAGUGUUCCCCACUCUCUUCCGCAUGUGAACUUUACAUCACUGUCUGUUCUUGAUUUGUCCUAUAAUUUCAUUAGCUCUACGAUACCCUCUUGGUUAUUCAACAUAAGUGGCCUUGAGCAUCUUGAUCUUAGUUCGAACAACCUUCAGGGUAAUAUUCCACCGACCUUUGGUAACUUGGCUUCCCUCGAGGAACUUAAUUUAGCUAACAAUCCUCUUCAAGGAGGAAUACCAACUUCCUUCAAAAAUCUGUGCAAGUUGCAGAAUUUAAUAUUGGCAGGCAUCAAUAUCAGCAAAGAUUUGUUAGGCCUUGAUGAAAGUUUUUCUGGUUGCGUCAAGAUGAGCCUAGAGGUUCUAGGCUUAUCCGGCACGAAUAUUAGUGGGCAGUUGCCUGAAUGGUUAUUCCAAUUCAGGAAGCUUAAAUCACUCCAGUUGAAGCAGAAUCUGAUUUCUGGGCCUAUUCCUGUAUCAAUUGGACAACUAGCAUCACUCCAAGAGCUCUUUCUUGGUCAAAAUCAAUUGAACGAAACAAUACCAGAAAGCGUGGGGUGGCUGUCUCAGCUUGUUUCUUUGGACCUUGAGCACAACAAUUUGGAGGGUGUAAUGUCUGAGGCGCAUUUUGGAAACCUCACAGAAUUGAAAGACUUGUAUUUGUCGUCCAACCCCUUGGCUCUAAAGGUCAAGAGCAAUUGGCUUCCUCCCUUCCAGCUUGAAUCCCUUCGGAUGGACUCUUGCAAACAGGGUCCUGAGUUCCCUGCAUGGCUCCAGUCGCAAAAAAAUAUUUCAGAAAUUGUUAUGUCUAAUGCUAGUAUUAUUGAUGCUAUGCCAGACUGGUUUUGGAGCUUAAUUUCCACAGCAGAGUACGUGAGUUUCUCCGGCAAUCAGAUCAGUGGCCACGUACCAAAUUUAUUGCAUUUAAACAACCUCAUCGAGUUGGAUUUAAGUUCAAACUACUUGGAGGGUCCUCUUCCAUAUUUUCCUCCUAGAUUGGAAGCAUUAGAUCUAUCAAACAAUUCAUUUUCAGGAACAAUUUCACUUGCCAUCAUCAUGAAUAUGCUAAACCUCAUGUAUUUAUCAUUUUCAGAAAACAAUUUAAGUGGUGAAAUUCCCUUCUCUAUAUGCAAACUGUCGGUCUUACAGUUUCUUGAUCUUUCAAAAAAUAUGUUAUCAGGAGAGCUCCCCAGUUGCUGGAAUGAUUCUUCCCCAAUUGAAUUUAUAGAUUUUUCAAGCAACAACAUAUCUGGAGUUAUUCCUGAGUCAAUAUGUUCCAUAGCAUCGCUUCAGUCGUUGCACUUGAGCAAUAACAGUCUAUCUGGAGAGCUGCCUUUGCCCUUGAAGGACUGUGGGAAAUUAUACCUUCUUGAUGCCGGAUAUAAUAAUUUGAAAGGUGAAAUUCCAACCUGGAUAGGUGAAAGUUUAACUAGUCUGAGGUUCCUCAAUCUGCGAUCAAAUAUGUUGGUCGGAGAUAUUCCUCCAAAUCUUUCAAGAUUGAGUGCUCUCCAAUUUCUCGACCUUGCGGGUAAUGAGCUAUCGGGUACUAUUCCAAGGAGCUUUGGAAAUUUUACUGCCAUGAAAGUAAUUGAAAAUUUUUCAAGUUCGACGACAGAUCAAAUUAGAUAUAAGGAGCAUAUGUUUAUUACAACUAAAGGAGACACUCAAGACUAUGGGAAGUCACUUUCGCUUAUGAAUAUUUUGGACCUCUCGGAUAAUAACUUAUUCGGAGGAGUACCUAAAGAAGUCACAAGUCUUUUUGGCUUAUUCAGCUUAAAUUUAUCUGGAAACCAUUUCACAGGAGAAAUCACUGAAAGUAUCAGUAAAUUACAACAAUUGGAGUCCCUUGACUUGUCAAGAAACAACUUUUCUGGCACAAUUCCUUCUAGCCUCGCUGCCUUGACUUAUUUGGCUCACUUGAACCUGUCAUACAACAACUUGUCAGGGGAAAUUCCUCUUGGUAAUCAACUUCUGACUUUCAAUGAUCCAUCGAUCUAUAUUGGCAAUCCUGAUCUUUGUGGGUUUCCUCUGAAUCAAAGUUGCAAAGAUAGUGAGACAGCACAAAGUCAAAGUAAUACAGAUGAUAGAGAUGAGAAUGAGAUGAUAUGGUUCUACACGAGCAUGGCACCAGGAUUUGUUGUUGGUUUCUGGGCAGUCUGGGGUACCUUAAUACUUAACAAGAAUUGGAACCUUUACUAUUUCCGAUUUAUAGACAACAUGCUUGACAAAGUAUAUGUGUUUAUCGUACUGAAAGUUUCUAGGAUCAGAAAACGUUGUUGUUCCCAACAAGGAUGAUAAAUUUGAACAUCAAUAUCUGCUGUAUGAGAGUUCAUCUCGUUAAUAUCAUAUCAUCAGCUUGAAUAAAUUUUAAUACUUCUGGACUUCUAUACAAGUAAGUCAUGCACUCUCAAUUUUGAUCAUUUCUGUCUAGAUAGCAGUACCAUAUGAAGUGUUCUAAUCUUGGGGGAUUGCCAGAAAGCUUGCACCUUUUAAUUAGUUUUUCCAAAAUAGACACCCCUUUUUUAGUUGUUCAGUUUGGCAGAAAUGAAAGGAGGUUAAAACUUUUACGAAGAUAUACAUAGAAUUUAUGGUUUUAUUUUCCUUCUUUCUUUUUCAUCCUCUAUUUUCCCAAGUUCAUAGUAUCUACUUUCAUCAAAUGCAUUUGCAUGUCUUGUUCUACCCAAGCAUUACACGCUCAAAACUUAUUCGAUUGCGAUCACAAGUUCGGCUGCAAAAGAUUUGACCACCUUAUUCGAUUAGUUUAACUCUUAUUGAACUUAUGCACAGGUGUUUCUACCAUACGCUACUCUUGUUUAUGUAAAUCCAGUGUCAGUAUAUCUAGAAUCAGAUUUCAUUUUACAUUACUAAAUUUUUCUAGAGAUCAAGGUUUAAAUGAUCAUUAACCCUCCCUAGAGUCCACAUUGGUGAGAGCCUCUCAAGCAAAGGUACGUCUUCUUCUAAAUCUCUUCAAAUAUUAAAUUUAUCUCACAUAAAAGAGAUUUUAUAUAUUAAUGCAGUCUGAAUUUUGAUAUAGAAUAACUUGUCAUCACUGUCAAGAUAACGCGAAUUCUGCCCUACAAAGACAGCCUGAGUUAGAGCAGGAGUAGCUUGGAUCUGAAUUGCAUGUACACUGGAAUUGCUUGUGAUGGUUUCGUAUGUGCUCUCUAACCUUCAAAGUUAUGGUGCUCUCAAAGAGCAAAUAAGGUUCAUACACAAGAGACUUGUUGUAUUUGAGAUGUUACUUGUGCUUCAUGCUUUGAGUCUUACUGUAAGUUUGUAUCCUCCAAACUGUACACUGCUAGAACUAUCCGACCGAAGAAGCCAUGGAUGCAUCUGCAGUUGCAACAGAUGGAGCUGUUUAAUAUGAUCUACUCAUGUAAUGAUCCUCUUGUGUUUGAGAUGCUUGUCUUCAUCAAUCAAAUACAAAUUGGUUGCAUCAUAAGCUCAAGUCCACCAAAUGUGCAGCUGCAUGAUCUUCUUGGAUCUCAUGCUCAGAUCUUUUCAGUUGAUGAGUCUCCCAUUAAUGGGGGACAUGCUGGUGCAGCUCAUGGAAUUGGGCCGAAGAGGCUUUCGCAUGCAGGAAUAAUCCAUUUAUGAUCAACAGAGUGUGGCCCCUCUCCGAGCCGCUCACAUUGAAGUUUGCCAUGGAUUCUGUGUCAUGACUCGGGAUGUAUACGAGCUUCAUUUGAUUACCUGUUGCCAUUAGCACUCAAAUGUAAGCAAAGUUCAUAAGAAUGUAAUUCUUGGUUCAAACUGUUUUGUGGACGCAAAACAAAGAAGAGGUGUUACAUCAA